AGUUGUCCGAGCAGCUAUAAACAGUCCAUUAAGCUCGGAGCGUUUGGCAGUCUGAGUAAGGCUGUCAAGGUUGGA
This 75-nucleotide ribozyme is filed under the name unclassified sequences. Its description in RNAcentral is "pistol ribozyme". It matches the Rfam family "Pistol ribozyme". The record is from RNAcentral.